UCAAGUAAUUAAGUGCAUGUGGUGGAUGCCUUGGCAGUCAGAGGCGAUGAAAGACGUGAUAGCCUGCGAAAAGCUCCGGGGAGGCGGCAAAUAUCCUUUGAUCCGGAGAUGUCUGAAUGGGGGAACCCACCUACUUUAAGGUAGGUAUUGCAACAUGAAUACAUAGUGUUGCAAGGCGAACGAGGGGAAGUGAAACAUCUCAGAACCUGUUCACAAUCUUUUCAGCAACAAAGCGAUGAAAGCAAGAUUGGUAAAUUGAAGGCUCGAAUUUAAAAGACGCUCACAGUUUUUCCAUAGACGUCUAUUUUUCUCAAGCCAAGCAAACGAACGUUCUACAACCCAUCGCUUUGGUAUGACUUUAAACGUAUGCAGUUCAUCUCUUUUGGCGACUUCUGUGGUAACGGUUUCGCCUAAAAGGGUCUUUACACUAUUGGCAAAUGCCUCACCUCGAUAACCGCCAUCAACCAUCACAUUUUUUACGCGGCUUAAUCGUUUGGUAUUUUGACGAAGUAACGUUUUAGCACCCUCACGGUCGGUGAUAUUGGCAGUGGUAAUACAGAUAGCAUGCGGCAAACCUUGGCUAUCUACCGCAAUAUGGCGCUUAAUCCCUGAUACUUUCUUUCCUGCGUCAUAGCCUUUGUGUUUAGCCGUGUCGGUAUUUUUUACGCUUUGAGCAUCAAUGAUGAUAAAACUGGUUUUGCUCUUACGUUUGUCCUUCUUUCGCGCUUUUUUGACCAAUUUUUUUUAAGGCUUGGUCAAGAAUGCUGUUGCCUUCUUCGUCAAGCUCGCUCCAUUUCUGAAAGUACGAGUGGACGGUGCGCCAUUUGGGAAAGUCAUGGGGCAGCUGUCGCCAUUGGCAACCUGUUCUUAGUACAUACAAUAACCCACAAAAUACGUCAUAAAGGUCAACCGUUCUUGGUUUGGUCUUUUUCCUUGCACUUUCUAGAAUGGGUAGUAUGUGCUCAAAUUGUUUUCGGCUAAUGUCGCUUGGAUAGGCUUUUCUCAUGGUGAAUUAUUCGGUUAUUAAUCGAUUAUGUGGCUUAUCCUAGCAUAUUUUUUAAUCGUGAACAGGUUCUCAGUACCCUUAGGAAAAGAAAUCAAUUGAGAUUCCCUCAGUAGCGGCGAGCGAACGGGGAUCAGCCCAUUAAGUUAUGUGUGUUUUAGUGGAACGCUCUGGGAAGUGCGAACGUAGAGGGUGAUAUUCCCGUACACGAAAGGGCACACAUAAUGAUGACGAGUAGGGCGAGGCACGUGAAACCUUGUCUGAAUAUGGGGGGACCAUCCUCCAAGGCUAAAUACUCCUGACUGACCGAUAGUGAACCAGUACCGUGAGGGAAAGGCGAAAAGAACCCCUGUGAGGGGAGUGAAAUAGAUCCUGAAACCGCAUGCAUACAAGCAGUGGGAGCACCUUCGUGGUGUGACUGCGUACCUUUUGUAUAAUGGGUCAGCGACUUAUAUUCAGUAGCGAGGUUAACCGUAUAGGGGAGCCGUAGAGAAAUCGAGUCUUAAUAGGGCGUUUAGUUGCUGGGUAUAGACCCGAAACCAGGCGAUCUAUCCAUGAGCAGGUUGAAGGUUGGGUAACACUAACUGGAGGACCGAACCCACUGUCGUUGAAAAGCCAGGGGAUGACUUGUGGAUAGGGGUGAAAGGCUAAUCAAGCCUGGUGAUAGCUGGUUCUCCCCGAAAGCUAUUUAGGUAGCGCCUCGGACGAAUACCAUAGGGGGUAGAGCACUGUUUCGGCUAGGGGGUCAUCCCGACUUACCAAACCGAUGCAAACUCCGAAUACCUAUGAGUACUAUCCGGGAGACAGACUGCGGGUGCUAACGUCCGUAGUCAAGAGGAAAACAAUCCAGACCGCCAGCUAAGGCCCCAAAAUCAUAGUUAAGUGGGAAACGAUGUGGGAAGGCAUAGACAGCUAGGAGGUUGGCUUAGAAGCAGCCACCCUUUAAAGAAAGCGUAAUAGCUCACUAGUCGAGUCGGCCUGCGCGGAAGAUGUAACGGGGCUAAAACUAUGUGCCGAAGCUGCGGAUGUAUACUUUGUAUACGUGGUAGGGGAGCGUUCUGUAAGCCGAUGAAGGUGUGUUGAGAAGCAUGCUGGAGGUAUCAGAAGUGCGAAUGCUGACGUGAGUAACGACAAAACGGGUGAAAAACCCGUUCGCCGAAAGACCAAGGGUUCCAGUCCAACGUUAAUCGGGGCUGGGUGAGUCGACCCCUAAGGCGAGGCCGAAAGGCGUAGUCGAUGGGAAAAUGGUUAAUAUUCCAUUACUUCUGUGUAAUGCGAUGAGAGGACGGAGAAGGCUAAAUCAGCCUGGCGUUGGUUGUCCAGGUGAAAGGAUGUAGGCAUGUAUCUUAGGCAAAUCCGGGGUACUCUAUGCUGAGAUCUGAUAGCAAGCUGUACUUGUACAGCGAAGUGGUUGAUGCCAUGCUUCCAGGAAAAGUCUCUAAGCUUCAGUUACACAGGAAUCGUACCCGAAACCGACACAGGUGGUCAGGUCGAGUAGACCAAGGCGCUUGAGAGAACUCUGCUGAAGGAACUAGGCAAAAUGGUACCGUAACUUCGGGAGAAGGUACGCUGUUGUUGGUGAUGGAACUCGCUUCCUGAGCUGACGACAGCCGCAGAAACCAGGCCGCUGCAACUGUUUAUUAAAAACAUAGCACUCUGCAAACACGAAAGUGGACGUAUAGGGUGUGAUGCCUGCCCGGUGCUGGAAGGUUAAUUGAUGGGGUUAGCGUAAGCGAAGCUCUUGAUCGAAGCCCCAGUAAACGGCGGCCGUAACUAUAACGGUCCUAAGGUAGCGAAAUUCCUUGUCGGGUAAGUUCCGACCUGCACGAAUGGCAUAAUGAUGGCGGCGCUGUCUCCAGCAGAGGCUCAGUGAAAUCGAAAUCGCUGUGAAGAUGCAGUGUACCCGCGGCUAGACGGAAAGACCCCGUGAACCUUUACUGCAGCUUGACACUGAACUUUGACCUUACUUGUGUAGGAUAGGUGGGAGGCUUUGAAGCUGGAACGCUAGUUCCAGUGGAGCCGUCCUUGAAAUACCACCCUGGUAAUGUUGAGGUUCUAACUCUGUCCCGUGAUCCGGGACGAGGACCGUGUCUGGUGGGUAGUUUGACUGGGGCGGUCUCCUCCUAAAGAGUAACGGAGGAGUACGAAGGUGCGCUCAGCGUGGUCGGAAAUCACGCGUAGAGUAUAAAGGCAAAAGCGCGCUUAACUGCGAGACCCACAAGUCGAGCAGGUACGAAAGUAGGUCUUAGUGAUCCGGUGGUUCUGUAUGGAAGGGCCAUCGCUCAACGGAUAAAAGGUACUCUGGGGAUAACAGGCUGAUACCGCCCAAGAGUUCAUAUCGACGGCGGUGUUUGGCACCUCGAUGUCGGCUCAUCUCAUCCUGGGGCUGAAGCAGGUCCCAAGGGUAUGGCUGUUCGCCAUUUAAAGAGGUACGCGAGCUGGGUUUAGAACGUCGUGAGACAGUUCGGUCCCUAUCUACCGUGGGCGCUGGAAAUUUGAGAGGAUCUGCUCCUAGUACGAGAGGACCAGAGUGGACGAACCUCUGGUGUACCGGUUGUGACGCCAGUCGCAUCGCCGGGUAGCUAUGUUCGGAAGGGAUAACCGCUGAAAGCAUCUAAGCGGGAAGCCUACCUCAAGAUAAGAUUUCCCUAGGACUUUAUGUCCUCUAAAGAGCCGUUCGAGACUAGGACGUUGAUAGGUUGGAUGUGGAAGCAUAGUGAUAUGUGAAGCUGACCAAUACUAAUUGCUCGUGAGGCUUGACUAU
RNAcentral lists this ribosomal RNA (3767 nucleotides) under Acinetobacter baumannii DU202. RNAcentral describes it as "bacterial LSU rRNA". It matches the Rfam family "Bacterial large subunit ribosomal RNA". Lineage: Bacteria; Pseudomonadati; Pseudomonadota; Gammaproteobacteria; Moraxellales; Moraxellaceae. The record is from RNAcentral.